Non-coding RNA from Dipodomys ordii (Ord's kangaroo rat), 70 nucleotides. The record is from Rfam. Lineage: Eukaryota; Metazoa; Chordata; Mammalia; Rodentia; Heteromyidae.
UGGGAUGUAGCUCAGUGGCAAAGCACUUGCCUAGCAAGUACAAUGUCCUGGGUUCGAUCCCCAGUACCAA